This 1552-nucleotide long non-coding RNA is filed under the name Theobroma cacao (cacao). RNAcentral describes it as "long non-coding RNA (TCAC_LNC001215)". Lineage: Eukaryota; Viridiplantae; Streptophyta; Magnoliopsida; Malvales; Malvaceae. The record is from RNAcentral.
UUAUGAUUUCCUAAAAAGUUUGGCUCGCGCCAAAAUCAUUCUCAUACUCAGUUAUCAAGAAUACCUUGGCCGAUGGCUAUCCCAACCGAGUCCGCCAAGGCUAUUAAAAAGUUAUGUACGCAUAAAUCAUCUUUUUAUUUUGAAACAUAGCCAUUCCUUGACGUUGGCUGAGUUCACCCUCACGUGGUGGUUUGGCAUGAAGUAAACUCUAAAGUUUUAACCUCAGGAGUUAUCCAACCGCGCCUCUCAUAUUGAGGUAUGAAUAUAAUAGGGUUACAGUGCCCCUUUAAUAGGUUGGUCCGCGAAACCCGUCCACUACAGCAAUCGAUUUAUAACCCACCAAUUCAAUAAAAUUCAACAGCAUGACUUGGCAAUUAUUUUAUUUUACAACCUCUCAAGGCAAAUUAACAGUUCAUACAUUUUCAACACAUUUACCAAUUCAACCAUUCAUGCCAAUAUUAUCAUAAGCCAUUUAAUUCAAACCAUGAUUUAUAACACAACAAUUAGUCUCCAAUUACUCCAUUUUCAAAACAAUCUUUCAAUUUCAAGACAAUUUUAUAAAAUCAUUUCAUUUUAUCUUAUUUUGCUUAUAAAACAUAAAGAUUUACCAUUAAACUCAUUUUUCUUUCAAAUCACAAAAAUGAAUAAAAACUACUUUAGAUAAUUAAGACAAUAAUAAAGUUACUCACUGUAAUGGGAAUUGAAUUUCAAGUACUCCGAUUCUUGAUCCUCGGGUACUAUCUCUUUACUUUUGCCAAAAUGCUCACCACCUAGACAUAAUGCACAAUAAGCCAUCUACUACAUUUGUGCUAAAUUGUUAUAAAACCAAUUCAGGCUCUAUACUAAUGCAUGAAAUGGGAUGUAAAUUAUUCAGAUUAUCGUCCAAACACGGUGUUCUACACAAAUUCAAUUAUGUACCUAAAUAAAACGGUAUUGGCCUAAUUCGAUCUAUCACUUGAUUAAUUGGCCAAUAUGUCCAACUCAACUCCAAUAAUUCCAUUUUUCUCUCAAUACUUCAAAUCACCAAACACAAGUCAAAUAACAUAAAAUUUAGCAAAACCAUCCUCACAUUUCUUCUUGAGAAUUUCGGCCACUGUGAGUGCAUCAACACUAUGAUUUUUCCUACUUGAUUUUCUCACCAUAAUUCAUCAUUUCCUAACCAAUUUACUUGAAAUAAAAUCAAAUCCACCAUCAACACUCUACAAGGAAGAUUCUGCCAAUGAUGAACUCAUGAGGAAUAUGUGAAUUUCAAGCUUAAUUCUUACACUUAACACCAUAAAUAACUAAAAACAUCCAUAUGUCUUAAAAAUCUAUCUACAUCAUCAUCAAAUUCUCUCUCCUAGAGUUUGAUCAGCACACUAUCCUUCAUGAUAUCCUGUGAUUCAACUAUGGAAAAUGCAAAAUAAUGCAUAGGAAAGAUGGAUCACAAGCUAGAGUUAUGAAAUUUCACCUUUGAUGGCUUGAUUACUUGAAAUCCACCAAUUUUCUCUUGAAUUUUCACUCUAGGGUUUUUGUUCUUCUUUUCUUCCUUUGUUAUUGCUAUGGUCGGCCA